AUACAACAGCCCAUUCUAUGUCAUGGACCCUUUAUUUCCUGGGAAGAUUCCACGAAAUCCAAGAAGAACUGUAUCUAGAAUUGCAAGAAAUUUUCAAAAAUGAUAGGAACAGGAAUAUUACUAUCUAUGACACAACGAAAAUGACGGACUUAGAAUGCGUAAUUAAGGAGUCGAUGAGAAUCUAUCCACCUGCUCCUUUUAUUGCAUGAAAAAAUCCUUCAGAAAUGAAAAUAAGUAAUUACAUGUUGCCUGCAAAUUCGACUCUUGUCAUAAAUAUCUAUGGCAUCCAUCAUAAUCCUUCUGUUUACGAAAAUCCCG
Molecule: long non-coding RNA, 318 nt
Organism: Centruroides sculpturatus (bark scorpion)
Lineage: Eukaryota; Metazoa; Arthropoda; Arachnida; Scorpiones; Buthidae
Exons: 3
Source: RefSeq, a predicted model, not a curated record